Long non-coding RNA from Chinchilla lanigera (long-tailed chinchilla), 4306 nucleotides. NCBI's taxonomy places the organism in Eukaryota, Metazoa, Chordata, Mammalia, Rodentia, Chinchillidae. The record is from Ensembl.
UUUAAGUCUAUGAAAUAUAUAUACACAGAAAAAAUGUGAAGAAAACAUUAUCUUUGAGCAAGGAGGCUAGAUUUCCUUCUCCAUAGUGAUAUCAUAUUUUCCAUAAAGAAAAUAACUCAAAGAAUUUUAAAGCAGCAUAUUCUUUUUUCUAAAUUGAAAAAUGACUGCCACCACCCAGUUCUAACCACUCCAUGAGUAAUAAAUGAGAAAGAAAGAGUCUUGAAAGAAUAAAGAGUGGUUAUGCACACAGUCCAUAAAGGACUACUUGUUCCUCUGAGCUGUGCCACAAAGGCCUUUCCUUCCCACGUUAGACUCCUACAGGGAUCCCACGCCACCAGCCUCAGCUCCACCAGCCUCAUCACAGUCCGGAGGAGUCCACAUUUGUAAUCCCAGGAAAAAGUUACUGGAAUUCCAAUAAGUAAUUCCAGUCUACCACUUCACCGCAACCUAUAGGCAGAAUAAAGAGACGGACACAUAUCUACAGUGGUGGGGAGCCGAGGGGGUCCUAAGUCCAGCUAUGAUGAUGACUGACCGGAACAAAGGCCUCGACCCAGGGCCAAACCCAGCUUUUAUUAAUUCAUGGAAUGAGGAGUGGCUCACGGAUGAGUGACUGUGAGAAUCAUGGGAAGUAUGUGAGUACUGUGGAGGGGGUUGCUUAGGUAGGAGUCAUUGUAGCACCUGGGCAAUAUGCAGAGAGAGGUAUGCACAAAGAUUGAUCUGCAUAACACAGUUUAAGGAAGUAUCUUGGGUUUUUUUGUUGUUGUUUGUUUGUUUUUGAGACAGGGUCUCAGUAUGCAGUUCAGGCUGGCCUUGAGCUCACUUUGUAGCCCAGGCUGGUCUCGGAACUCGCAACAAUCCUCCUGCCUCAGCCUCCCGAGUGGAGUACUGGGAUUACAGGCAUGCGCCACCACGCCGAGCUGAGGAAGGAUCUCAUGUUUUGGGGGAGAGCAGCAUGGUGCCCGGGAGGAGAAAGGAAAGUCGGCUUGGAGUGUGGGGAGCGGCUGGAGCUGGUCAUCAAUCACGCAUGCAGGACAAAGCCUGGCCAAGAACACGGGGAGCUCCUUGAACCAUGAUAUUAAUUUCAAGCUGCUGCAGCUUGUUAACUGAUUGCUGAAGUGAGAGAGGCUGAAAUUAAUAUCACCCUCUAGAGGGUAUAAAUAAACGCUCUACCGUUCUUGGGCAGUUCUCCUCUGCUUAGGAGAGAGUAUCUCUACCUGACCCAGCUCUUGUCUCUUGUCUAUCUUUUCCUCAUUCCCACCGCCUUCCUCCGCGGGUACACAGAGAGCCCAAGUCUCAACAUUGGAGUUGAAAGUCCGGUUCUGUUUAAGACUACUGGAAAUUAGGGCGUGGCUAACCAGCUGAGGAAGUACUUGUGACCUGUCAAUCAUGGAGACCCAGGACACAUGCGCAGAAAAGGUUCCCAAGCCCCACAGCUGGGACUAACCAGAAAAUGCUAUCUUUGAUUUUUCUGGUCAAAAAUUAAUCAGGUUUCUGACAGGACAGCCUAGGCUGACGUCAGCCUGAGCAACAGCAAGACCUCUAUCAUUAAUUUGGCGUCUGUGCUCUUCCAUGACCCACACUCUGCAGAAUAUGCAUUAUUUUUUUUCCCUACAUUUAAUAAAUAUAAAACCUGGCUACUUUUUGCACAUGUCUUGUCCAAUUCUUUGUUCAGGACAAGAAUCUGGAAAAAAAAAUCUCUGGAAAGGGCCUACAGCGCACCCCCACCACACUGGAUAACACAACCACCAGCUCCAUAACUGGUGUCUUAUAAAAUGGAGUGGGAAAUGUUUUAGUCUCCAUAGAGUUAGUAUUCUCUGGUUUCAUGUCUGGGUUUUAUUUUACAUUGGUGUAUAUGUUUUUGUGUGUGUGCCCCAUAUGCAAAGUUAAUAUCUACAUUAAGAGUUACAGCAGUAAAGGAACUUUUUGAAUUAUCAUUAGGUUACCUUGUCCAGGAGUCAAUUCCAAGCAGGUCAAGGUUCUUCACCUUUAGCCUACUGACAUUAUCAAAUCAGCAGGAAUUCGGUUAGAGGAUGGACCAAGAUAACUGUCCCUACUGAAUUCCCCUUUGACCCUCCAGGCGCUGCAGUCCCACUCAGGGCCCAUUACUCAACUCAAGCGCUGUUGUACGGCCAAUACUUAGCAGGGCAAGUUUCAUUAUUUAGCAAUAUAUAGAUUCUUUUUUAAUGUCCAGAGAAGAGGGAAGAACAAGUUGUUGAGUAAUUCUCUGAAUGAAAUACACUAGGGAUAGACCAUCUAAAAAUACUCUUUUCCAGAAAGCCAGACAUAAGAACGCAACUUUAAAGUGCCUCGUAGUAUGUAACAAAGCUUAGAGACGUGCACCCAAAAGCUAGGUCCUACCCCUGCACACUUGAUGUACACCACUUUCUCUGCCUCUCUCCCUAGUUUAUUCUGUAUAAUGCAAAUAAAAGAUAAUAUUUUUUAGUUUAGCAUUUUCAACAGUAUAUAGACAAAGGAUGAAUAUCCAGAAUGUUAAUACAUAAUAAAAUAAGUAGGGAAAAAAAAAAAUCAAAGAAUUCAGUUUUUAAAAAAUUGGCUGAAAGUAUGGCAAGCAAUCCAUAAGAAUCAGCCUAAAUGACUAACAUUCAAAAAGAUGUUGGCUCAUUGCAAUCAGAGAAAUAUAAACCAAAUCACAAGAGAUACUACUUUAUACCAAUAAGGUUUAGCUUACUAGGAAACAAUGCGGCAUCAAUUCAAAGACACUGAGAGCCUGUGAUUCAGCAAUUCUGUCACUAGCCUGGGUCUAAGAGGGUCCUGAAGCUAGGAUGCCAAGUUUAACCCACCCUAAACACAGAAUGCUUGGAGGUUCAUCAGUGAAAGGCAAGAGAAGGGUUUAUUAGGCAGAGAUUUAGGACAUACUCAAAAGUGGGCUGCUGAUGCUCAGAGAAAUGAGAUCCCUUAGAGUUCGAAACUGGAAAUAUUUGUGCUUGUAGCAGUGGAAUUCUGUGAAGUUGAUUAUCUAGUCUUGGUCUUGUUUGGUGGAUGGAGGAAGUUGGCUCACCCAUCGUAAGACAAUGAUCUACUCAAAGGUGAAAGUCCAUUGUACAGGUGAAAAGGUGGACUAUUCACCAAUGAAAGAGGGCAAUCUGCAAGUAAAAAGAGAAUACAAUAGUAGAGAAUCCACUUGCAGGUCGAAGGGAAUUUCCCAGGCUCAUUGUGUUCUGGGAGAGGAGAGGGAAAAAAGUUAAAACAAAUAAAAUGGGCUUGUGUAGUGAAACUAGUUUUCAUUUUUAAAAUUAUGAUUUUCCUAAUCCCAACACUCAGGAGGCUGAGGCAGAAAGAUCACUUCGAAUUCAAGGCCAGCCUGGGCUACAUAGUGAGUUCAAGGACAACCUGAAUUAAUUACAUAGCAAGACCCUGUCUCAAAAAGCAAAACAACUAACUAAAUAAAUAAAUAAAAAGAUAAAACAUUGUUAGAAAAAUGGCCUCGGUGGCAACCCACUUCUGGGACUCCUCCUGUCUUUCAGGAGCUAUCUCUCAAUAAAUCUCCGCCCUUCUUAAAAAAAAAAAAAAAAACAUAAAAAAUGAGCUGGGUGUGGUGGCGCACAUCUGUACUCCCAGCACUCGCUGAGGCACGAGGAUCGCUGAGUUCGAGGCCUGCCUGGGCUACAAAGUGAGUUCAAGGCCAACCUGAAGUGCAUAGUGAAACACUGUCUGAAAAAGACAAAAAAAAAAUAAAUAAAAUAGGUGUUAUGGGAAGGGAAGCAGGUGAUUAGGGUGUGGCCAACCAGCCGGGCAAGUGGGCAUCACCUAUUAAUCACAGAAAUCCAGAAUACAAAUGACCACGCCCAGCACCUAGGACCAAUCAGAAAUUGCCGUUUUUCAGUUCUUCUGGAGUGAAGCAGGUUCUGGACAGGAUGACCUAGAUCUGAUAUCAGAAUGAGGGGAAACAAAUGAUGGUGGCCAUUAACCUUGUGGCCAUUGUGAGCUCAGUGCCCGCUCUCACUGUGUACAGCAUACUUCUGUUCUUAUCUUUAAUAUAUUUAACAGUUCACUACCAUUUGUGUGUUGUCUAAUUCUCUGUUCAGGACAAGAACCUGCAAAGAAUCUCUGAAAGAAGUCCAGAGCACCCUAAGACCCCUGGUUACAGAAGCACUAAUGAAAAUGCAAUGGUAACUUCCUUCCUAAGAAAUAUUGACCUCUGAGGGUUAAAAUUAUUGAUCCAAUUCACUCAAAUAUAAACUUCUGACUGGAAAAAAUUCAAUACAGUCAAAAUAUAGGAAAUAUUAUCUAUCAGGCAUCAAAUUACAUAUUAAGGAAAGGGGAAAUAUUUCCGUAGGUAUCUAGA